GCUUGCUUCCGCCGACGACCGGCGCACGGGUGCGUAACGCGUAUACAAUCUACCUUAUACUGGGGUAUAGCCUUUAGAAAUGAAGAUUAACCCCCCAUAGUCUCUUAGAGUGGCAUCACUUCUAGAGUAAAGGUUACGGUAUAAGAUGAGUAUGCGUUCUAUUAGUUUGUUGGUGUGGUAACGGCACACCAAGACUACGAUAGAUAGGGGCCCUGAGAGGGGGAUCCCCCACACUGGUACUGAGACACGGACCAGACUCCUACGGGAGGCAGCAGUGAGGAAUAUUGGACAAUGGAGGCAACUCUGAUCCAGCCAUGCCGCGUGCAGGAAGACUGCCCUAUGGGUUGUAAACUGCUUUUAUACAGGAAGAAACACCUCUACGUGUAGAGGCUUGACGGUACUGUAAGAAUAAGGAUCGGCUAACUCCGUGCCAGCAGCCGCGGUAAUACGGAGGAUCCAAGCGUUAUCCGGAAUCAUUGGGUU
This 483-nucleotide ribosomal RNA is filed under the name uncultured Bacteroidota bacterium. RNAcentral describes it as "bacterial SSU rRNA". It matches the Rfam family "Bacterial small subunit ribosomal RNA", at positions 78 to 560 of the family's 1533-position model. The record is from RNAcentral. Lineage: Bacteria; Pseudomonadati; Bacteroidota.